This 253-nucleotide ribosomal RNA is filed under the name uncultured bacterium. RNAcentral's name for it is "partial 16S ribosomal RNA". It matches the Rfam family "Bacterial small subunit ribosomal RNA", at positions 524 to 776 of the family's 1533-position model. The record is from RNAcentral.
GACGGAGGGGGCUAGCGUUGUUCGGAAUGACUGGGCGUAAAGGGCGCGUAGGCGGUUUUUUAAGUUGGGCGUGAAAGCCCCAGGCUUAACCUGGGAACUGCGCUUGAUACUGAAAGACUAGAGGACGAGAGAGGAAAGUGGAAUUCCGAGUGUAGAGGUGAAAUUCGUAGAUAUUCGGAGGAACAUCAGAGGCGAAGGCGGCUUUCUGGCUCGUAUCUGACGCUGAGGCGCGAAAGCGUGGGGAGCAAACAGG